This 29-nucleotide non-coding RNA is filed under the name Rattus norvegicus (Norway rat). The record is from RNAcentral. Lineage: Eukaryota; Metazoa; Chordata; Mammalia; Rodentia; Muridae.
UGCUCAGUAAUGGAUCAGAAGUUGAUGAC